CAAUAAGAACAGAUUAACUAUAAAGACAAAUGACAAGAAAAUGAAUGUUGAAAGCCAUAUGUCCCUGCUAGGAAGUGGAGCAGCCUGGAUGCAAAUCCAAACAUCUGAGUCUCUUAGCACUGCAUGAGGACCCCUUCCGGCCAGCAGCUCGGUUGGAUGGAAAUGAGAUUGGCUGAAGACAACUAAGGGCUGAGAAAUCUGCACGCUCCGCUGAGUAUUCUGUGUGCUGUUCUUGAGUGGAAGGCUUUGUAUUGCACCACACACCUCAAAAAUACCCACAGUACAUGAUGUUUUAAUGUCAU
This 302-nucleotide long non-coding RNA is filed under the name Cavia porcellus (domestic guinea pig). Its description in RNAcentral is "lncRNA (ENSCPOG00000038735.1)". The record is from RNAcentral. Lineage: Eukaryota; Metazoa; Chordata; Mammalia; Rodentia; Caviidae.